AAAUUGUUUUCGAAUUGUUGAGAGCAGAAGAGCCGUUAAGUUAGUUUUGUGAUCGAUCUCCAUUAGUCACAAGAUGCGCCGUUCCAAUGUGUCUAACAUCCAAAAGCCUACUACUGGUAAUGCACCGAGUAAACGUUCUCGUGUGCAAACUACUGAUCAGCCAUGUCC
This is a long non-coding RNA of Rosa chinensis, 168 nucleotides long. RefSeq lists it as uncharacterized. The transcript is spliced from 3 exons. NCBI's taxonomy places the organism in Eukaryota, Viridiplantae, Streptophyta, Magnoliopsida, Rosales, Rosaceae. The record is from RefSeq and is a predicted model, not a curated record.